UACGGGGGGAGCAAGCGUUGUUCGGAUUUACUGGGCGUAAAGGGCGCGUAGGCGGUCAGCACAAGUCAAUUGUGAAAUCUCCGAGCUUAACUCGGAAAGGUCAACUGAAACUGUGCGACUAGAGUGCGGAAGGGGCAACUGGAAUUCUUGGUGUAGCGGUGAAAUGCGUAGAUAUCAAGAGGAACACCUGCGGCGAAGGCGGGUUGCUGGGCCGACACUGACGCUGAAGCGCGAAAGCUAGGGGAGCAAACGGG
Molecule: ribosomal RNA, 254 nt
Filed under: uncultured bacterium
Lineage: Bacteria
Description: partial 16S ribosomal RNA
Rfam family: Bacterial small subunit ribosomal RNA
Source: RNAcentral